This 928-nucleotide long non-coding RNA is filed under the name Zostera marina. RNAcentral's name for it is "long non-coding RNA (ZMAR_LNC005523)". Lineage: Eukaryota; Viridiplantae; Streptophyta; Magnoliopsida; Alismatales; Zosteraceae. The record is from RNAcentral.
GGAUCGACAUUUAGCAAAAGUCGAGGAAAAACAACAAGGGAUCGACAUUUAGCAAAAGUCGACCAAAUUUAACAAGGGAUCGACUUUUUCUUCUCACAUAAAAGGGGUGCAGAAAAAAGAACCCAGACAAGGUGGAGUUGUGGAGGCACACCAAGACAGGAGGGUGCAACACGAAAUGCUCCUGAGGAAUCGUGGAAGUCCGCAGCUCGGACAGAGAUACGGCAGCAAAAUGAACUGAGCCAUAUAAAGAUAUUUGAACUCUUACUAUUACUGGACGCAGUAACAAAGUAGGACGCCAAAUUAACUCUAUCUACGGAAGAACGUGGGUAGGGAAAGUCUUAAUGGUAACAGAGUCAGGAUGCGUAUCCCAUCCAAGGGCAAGAGUAAACCUCACCUACGGAAACAUAGUGUUAGACGAGGGAUAUACUAAAAAGUGAACCCCACCUACGGAAGAACGUAGGUUAGACGGGGAACACAUCGGCAAAAGUAAACCUCACCUACGGAAACGUAGUGUUAGACAAGGGAUAUACUAAAAAGUGAACCCCACGUACGGAAGAACGUAGGUUAGACGGGGAACACAUCGGCAAGAGUAAACCUCACCUACGGAAACGUAGUGUUAGACGAGGGAUAUACUCAAAAGUGAACCCCAGCUACGGAAGAACGUAGGUUAGACGGGGAACACAUCGGCAAGAGUAAACCUCACCUACGGAAACGUAGUGUUAGACGAGGGAUAUACUCAAAAGUGAACCCCACCUACGGAAGAACGUAGGUUAGAUAGGGAACACAUCGGCAAAAAAUGAACCCCACCUACGGAAGAACGUAGGUUAGGCGGGGGACACAUCAGCUAAACACACACCCCAUUCUACAAAAAUGUAGACAGAGGGGCAGGUGUCCAAUAGUAAACCUCACCUACGGAAGAACGUAGGUU